ACUGCGCCAGGUUGCGCGCUCCCAAAGGGAUGGUUAGAAAGCCCUCCGGUCCUCUCCCCUCCCGGCCCCUUGCGCUCCUCUGCGGCUCCCAGGUGCGAAGCGACGCCACCCGCAGAAGCUUCGGCUCUCCUCGAAAGGUUAUUCUCAGAGCCCAUCCUUCAUCUGUGCUUGUGACCAAUUUGCCAUUUAUGAGCAUGGAUCUUGUGUUCUAGAAUGAUGGUCUACAGCUACAUCGAAUGAUGUGGCAAUGGGCAGCCAGUCAGAGGACAGGAGUGGGUCUCUCCCAGCAGUCUCUCGAGGACCUGUCAUGGGAUCAUGCAUGGUUUCUUUUGUACGAGAAAGUAGAAUCCAAGUCAUCUCAGGAAAGCACACUGCUAUUCAACAGUGAACGAAAUGUGAUGAGUAUAUCCUGUAAGUUCUUGUCCAGUGAAACCUGAAAACACAGCUAUUCUCUCAUGUUGCUGACAACUAAACAACACUGAACUUGCUACCGUAGCAGAAUACAAAUAUUCUUAGAUCAUUUUAAAGAUUAGACUCAAGGAAUUAAUCAUGUGUGACAGGAAGCUUGGACAUGAUUUACAGCAUCUAGUAGCUUACAUUGUAACUGCUUUUUAUUGCUUCAUGUAGUAUAUAAUAGCAUUAAGUUGUCCUUAGAUAGGAUGCUAUGGAAAACAAGCUAUGUAGUUCAACUGGGACAUUCUGCAGAAUUAUAACCAAAACGGACCACUGAUGUUUCCUUAAGGAUCUCAGAAUCAAUCUGAUAAAGUUUAUUAAAAAAAUCAUUGAAUUCUGAUAACUCAGGUAAAAUAAUUUCAAAUAAUUCCAAAUGGUUAAAUAGCUUUUCAACAAUCACUGGGCAAUUUUUAGAGCAAUCUGUUUGAGUUGAAAGUUCAAAACUAAUUUGACAGAAAAAUAGAAAUCUCUAAAAGGCUUUAUGUAAACCACUAAAGUUCUGAUGUUCGCAAAUAUAUCAGCAAUGUCAGAAAGAAUAAUGGUAAGGAGAUUGACUUACCAUGAACUAAACAUACCUUGUGGGAGCAAAGGAAGGUAUUGUUUUGAAGUUAUUCAUUCACUAAGAAAGAUUCUUCUAUUUCCCCAACUAUUUUAUCUUCUAAUAACCAUUGGUCUUUUGUGUUUUCUGAUAAAAUUCAAAGAGCAAAAUCUAUUGGAUCAAUAAAGCAGAGAACUUUACAGAACCAAAUAAGAAUUGUAGUAGUAUGUAAUAUUCUCUAAAUUCUCUAUAUGGCUAUAUGCAUAAUUUUGUAUUUAUUUAUUUAUUUAUUUUGUCAUGUUUAUAUAGAGUAUAUUGGAGGUGAUGAUCCUUUGAGAGCUGUAUGCAACGAAAUUUCAUUUUAAUGUAUGCCGAUUA
This is a long non-coding RNA of Ahaetulla prasina, 1369 nucleotides long. RefSeq lists it as uncharacterized. The transcript is spliced from 4 exons. The record is from RefSeq and is a predicted model, not a curated record. NCBI's taxonomy places the organism in Eukaryota, Metazoa, Chordata, Lepidosauria, Squamata, Colubridae.